GGCGGCGUGCCUAAUACAUGCAAGUAGAACGCUGAAGGAGGAGCUUGCUUCUCUGGAUGAGUUGCGAACGGGUGAGUAACGCGUAGGUAACCUGCCUGGUAGCGGGGGAUAACUAUUGGAAACGAUAGCUAAUACCGCAUAACAGUAGAUGUUGCAUGACAUUUGCUUAAAAGGUGCAAUUGCAUCACUACCAGAUGGACCUGCGUUGUAUUAGCUAGUUGGUGGGGUAACGGCUCACCAAGGCGACGAUACAUAGCCGACCUGAGAGGGUGAUCGGCCACACUGGGACUGAGACACGGCCCAGACUCCUACGGGAGGCAGCAGUAGGGAAUCUUCGGCAAUGGACGGAAGUCUGACCGAGCAACGCCGCGUGAGUGAAGAAGGUUUUCGGAUCGUAAAGCUCUGUUGUAAGAGAAGAACGAGUGUGAGAGUGGAAAGUUCACCACUGUGACGGAUCUUACC
Molecule: ribosomal RNA, 462 nt
Filed under: Streptococcus mitis
Lineage: Bacteria; Bacillati; Bacillota; Bacilli; Lactobacillales; Streptococcaceae
Description: bacterial SSU rRNA
Rfam family: Bacterial small subunit ribosomal RNA
Source: RNAcentral